This 354-nucleotide ribosomal RNA is filed under the name uncultured bacterium. RNAcentral's name for it is "bacterial SSU rRNA". It matches the Rfam family "Bacterial small subunit ribosomal RNA", at positions 917 to 1269 of the family's 1533-position model. The record is from RNAcentral.
GGACCCGCACAAGUAGUGGAGCAUGUGGUUUAAUUCGAAGAUACGCGCAGAACCUUACCAACACUUGACAUGUUCGUCGCGACUUUAAGAGAUUAAAGUUUUCGGUUCGGCCGGACGAAACACAGGUGCUGCAUGGCUGUCGUCAGCUCGUGUCGUGAGAUGUUGGUUAAGUCCCGCAACGAGCGCAACCCUCACUUUUAGUUGCCAUCAUUUAGUUGGGCACUCUGAAAGAACUGCCAGUGAUAAGCUGGAGGAAGGUGGGGAUGACGUCAAGUCCUCAUGGCCCUUACGUGUUGGGCUACACACGUGCUACAAUGGUCGGUACAGAGGGCAGCGAAGCUGCGAAGUGGAGCG